UACGAAGGGGGGCUAGCGUUGCUCGGAAUCACUGGGCGUAAAGGGUGCGUAGGCGGGUCUUUUAAGUCAGGGGUGAAAUCCUGGAGCUCAACUCCAGAACUGCCUUUGAUACUGAAGAUCUUGAGUUCGGGAGAGGUGAGUGGAACUGCGAGUGUAGAGGUGAAAUUCGUAGAUAUUCGCAAGAACACCAGUGGCGAAGGCGGCUCACUGGCCCGAUACUGACGCUGAGGCACGAAAGCGUGGGGAGCAAACAGGAUUAGAAACCCUAGUAGCUCGACGCAAGCA
RNAcentral lists this ribosomal RNA (285 nucleotides) under uncultured bacterium. RNAcentral's name for it is "partial 16S ribosomal RNA". It matches the Rfam family "Bacterial small subunit ribosomal RNA", at positions 524 to 805 of the family's 1533-position model. The record is from RNAcentral.